Molecule: non-coding RNA, 1171 nt
Organism: Kogia breviceps (pygmy sperm whale)
Lineage: Eukaryota; Metazoa; Chordata; Mammalia; Artiodactyla; Physeteridae
Source: RefSeq, a predicted model, not a curated record
CCCACCAUAGUCAACUCCAGUACAUCAGAGCUGACAUUCAUAAACAGCCAUCAAUCACCCUGUUUCAACUGGAAAAGGAACGUGCAAAACGCCAAGUGGUCUCAGCCGCCCAUGACUGCAUGGCCAGAGCAGGCAGACCUCAUCACCUCUGUCUUAAAGAUGGGGAAACAGAGGCCUAGGAAUUGGUGGGGUUUCCCUGGCUCACCUGACCUUGUCACAGUGCCAUCAGGAGAUGUGCUCGGAACUAUUUCUCCAGGAGCUGUGACAGGUUUUGAGGACUCAGGCACAGCAGAGCAGCAUUUGACAGGGCUGACCAGGUGUACGGAUGCGGCCAGUGACACUGGAAAGGCUCUUCUUCCUCUGAAGUCCCUGGUCUAGUAAAUGAAUACAGAAAGGUAUAAAUCCAGAGGGAUGUGACAACAGCAGACUGGACAUGUCAACAAAAUUUUGCAAAAUGGGAAGUACAUGGUUUAGUGGAAUAGAUGAACUGCACACUACGUGCCAGCAAGUGUGGGGUCCUUGGACUUCCUCCAUGGACUUUACCAGAGUGAGAAGGUUCCAAGAGAGGAGGUGGAAGCUGCAAGCCCUGUGAUCUAGUCCCAGAUGUACCAGAAGGUCUCUUUGGCUGCAUCCCCUCGAGGAGCAAGUCAUGGGAGCCACCUCGGAUCCCAGGGAGGGGAAAUCGGCUGCCCUUCCCACUGGGAGGAGCGUAAAGACUUUGUGGCCAUCCUUCAUGCUCCACAGGCCAUGUUGAGCCACCCGGAGUGCAGGGCACAUGAGCCUCCUGUGCCCCGAUGGCCCACCACCAGCAGACGCCUUCCCCGCAUGUUCCAUAGCCCAGCCAAGGCUGUCUCAUGCUGCAGAGACCACGGUGACCUCAGACUCAACUUCAUCAGCGUCCGUACUCAAGCCUCUCCCUGAACUACUGAUGCUGACAUCUGGUGACCCAGUCAGCCCACGUCUGGAGAUGCAGGGAGGAACCAGGGCCCGGAGGCCAGGUCUUAAUUAAGGAGCUCAGGAGCAGGAAAGCUUCUGUGCAGUGGCGGCAAAUGAAGAACCACUUCCUUCUAGAACAGUUAGGUGCGUCAUUCUUGGAAUUAGCAUGCUCCAGGUCACGCUUGGGGACGCAUGAAGGAUUUGACACCCACGUACACAUUUGUCAGCUUCUGAU